ACGGAAGGCAGCAGUGGGGAAUAUUGCACAAUGGGGGAAACCCUGAUGCAGCGACGCCGCGUGAGUGAAGAAGUUAUUCGUAAUGUAAAGCUCUAUCAGCAGGGAAGAAAAUGACGGUACCUGACUAAGAAGCCCCGGCUAACUACGUGCCAGCAGCCGCGGUAAUACGUAGGGGGCAAGCGUUAUCCGGAUUUACUGGGUGUAAAGGGAGCGUAGACGGUCUAGCAAGUCUGAUGUGAAAGGCGGGGGCUCAACUCCUGGACUGCAUUGGAAACUGUUAGUCUUGAGUGUCGGAGAGGUAAGCGGAAUUCCUAGUGUAGCGGUGAAAUGCGUAGAUAUUAGGAGGAACACCAGUGGCGAAGGCGGCUUACUGGACGAUAACUGACGUUGAGGCUCGAAAGCGUGGGGAGCAAACAGGAUUAGAUACCCUGGUA
RNAcentral lists this ribosomal RNA (434 nucleotides) under uncultured Lachnospiraceae bacterium. Its description in RNAcentral is "partial 16S ribosomal RNA". It matches the Rfam family "Bacterial small subunit ribosomal RNA", at positions 341 to 792 of the family's 1533-position model. Lineage: Bacteria; Bacillati; Bacillota; Clostridia; Lachnospirales; Lachnospiraceae. The record is from RNAcentral.